CACGUGUCAAAACCUCGCCUUGGUUCAUAAGUUUCCACUGACAGUCACAUGGGUUUAUUUUUUUCCUCAUGCUGUCUGACUCGUGAGCGAGGACUGAAUGGUCCUGUGGAGGGGAGAUUGGGAUGAAGAGGUUUGCAGUACUGUGAGCAGAGAAAAGAACUUAGAGACUUAUCUUCAAGAACACGGUCAUUCUCACUUGAGCCACCCCCUAGAGAUGGAUCACCUCAUUUUCCUGCAGAAGCUAUUUGAAGCUGGAAACAGGUUGCAAAGCCAGGCUCCAGGACUCCACCAAACUACAGUGAGAGCCAUUAUCUUGAAACGGACAACACUUGAAACAGUGGGGAAUCUUCCCAAAAGUGCCAUAAAGUGCCAGUGCCUGCCAGAAUUUCUCCAAGGGUGCAGCGACAACUCAUCCAGGAAGUCACAAAAGAUCCCACUGAACAACAUCCAAAGAACUGCAGGCCUCUCUAGCCUCAGAUAAGGGGCUCAUGACAGACAUCCAGAUCUAUGGUGCCAUAAUGUAGAGGACUCUAAGGUGACCACAUCAUUUGCUCAACUGCCACAGGAAAUGUUAGUGGCAACAGGACAGACUUCAUCCACAGAGCACAAGAAUGAACAAUCAGUUGCAUGGAGACUAUGUGGACACCUGUUGUUUACAGGGAAAAGAUGCAUUAAUUAUGUAUUACUUGGAAGUGAAAGAA
Anguilla anguilla (European eel) is the source of this 701-nucleotide long non-coding RNA. RefSeq lists it as uncharacterized. The transcript is spliced from 4 exons. The record is from RefSeq and is a predicted model, not a curated record. NCBI's taxonomy places the organism in Eukaryota, Metazoa, Chordata, Actinopteri, Anguilliformes, Anguillidae.